UUUGUUCAUCAACACUUCUUCAGUCAAUCAUUGUCAAAUCAACAGAACGGAAAAUGAUAUUUUGGCUUCAAUAUGUUUUCUUUUUAGCAGUCUUCAGAGGUGUCCAAUCAGAGAUACAGCUGGUAGAGUCUGGAGGGGAUGUCAAAAGGCCUGGAGAUUCUCUUCGCCUGUCCUGCAAAGCCUCCGGGUUCACCUUCAGCAGCUACUGGAUGGUCUGGGUGAGACAAGCUCCAGGAAAAGGCUUGGAAUGGUUGACCCGCAUACAUUCAACUAGCAUUUACAUCUCUGAUAAAGUGAAAGGACGAUUUACCACCUCCAGGGAUGAUCCAAACAGCCUGCUGUAUCUUCAAAUGAAUAGCUUGAAACCUGAAGAUACGGCUGUGUAUUACUGUGCAAGAGACACACAUGAUAAAUUUAGCCACAGAAAACCUGACUCUUCUGAAAUAUGGUGA
Molecule: non-coding RNA, 452 nt
Organism: Elgaria multicarinata webbii
Lineage: Eukaryota; Metazoa; Chordata; Lepidosauria; Squamata; Anguidae
Source: the annotation of a RefSeq genome assembly